AUGUACCAUACGAAUAAGGACCGGCUAAUUCCGUGCCAGCAGCCGCGGUAAUACGGAAGGUCCAGGCGUUAUCCGGAUUUAUUGGGUUUAAAGGGAGCGUAGGCUGUUUGUUAAGCGUGUUGUGAAAUGUAAGAGCUCAACUUUUAGAUUGCAGCGCGAACUGGCAGACUUGAGUGCGCACAACGUAGGCGGAAUUCAUGGUGUAGCGGUGAAAUGCUUAGAUAUCAUGACGAACUCCGAUUGCGAAGGCAGCUUACGGGAGCGCAACUGACGCUAAAGCUCGAAGGUGCGGGUAUCGAACAGGAUUAGAUACCCNGGUAGUCCGCACA
RNAcentral lists this ribosomal RNA (329 nucleotides) under uncultured Prevotella sp. RNAcentral's name for it is "bacterial SSU rRNA". It matches the Rfam family "Bacterial small subunit ribosomal RNA", at positions 473 to 801 of the family's 1533-position model. The record is from RNAcentral. Lineage: Bacteria; Pseudomonadati; Bacteroidota; Bacteroidia; Bacteroidales; Prevotellaceae.